AUAAACGCUGGCGGCGCACAUAAGACAUGCAAGUCGAACGGAAGUCGCUAUACUGAUUUGAAAUGAACGGAGAACUUGUCAAAGGGACUGGAUGAAGAUUAUAACAAUGGCUUAGUGGCGGACUGGUGAGUAACGCGUGAGCAACCUGCCUAUUAGAGGGGAACAACAGUUAGAAAUGACUGCUAAUACCGCAUAUGCCUAAGUACCACAUGGUACAAUAGGGAAAGGAGUAAUCCGCUAAUAGAUGGGCUCGCGUCUGAUUAGAUAGUUGGUGGGGUAACGGCCUACCAAGUCAACGAUCAGUAGCCGGACUGAGAGGUUCAACGGCCACAUUGGGACUGAGAUACGGCCCAGACUCCUACGGGAGGCAGCAGUCGGGAAUAUUGCGCAAUGGAGGAAACUCCUGACGCAGUGACGCCGCGUGCAGGAAGAAGGUUUUCGGAUUGUAAACUGCUUUAGACAGGGAAGAAAAAGACAGUACCUGUAGAAUAAGCUCCGGCUAACUACGUGCCAGCCGCGGC
This 521-nucleotide ribosomal RNA is filed under the name uncultured bacterium. RNAcentral's name for it is "bacterial SSU rRNA". It matches the Rfam family "Bacterial small subunit ribosomal RNA", at positions 29 to 518 of the family's 1533-position model. The record is from RNAcentral.